Molecule: ribosomal RNA, 2783 nt
Filed under: Janthinobacterium sp. SUN211
Lineage: Bacteria; Pseudomonadati; Pseudomonadota; Betaproteobacteria; Burkholderiales; Oxalobacteraceae
Description: partial 23S ribosomal RNA
Rfam family: Bacterial large subunit ribosomal RNA
Source: RNAcentral
GGGUGAUAGCCCCGUAUGUGAAAUCGGACCGGUGGUACUAAGCGUACGACAAGUAGGGCGGGACACGUGACAUCCUGUCUGAAUAUGGGGGGACCAUCCUCCAAGGCUAAAUACUCGUAAUCGACCGAUAGUGAACCAGUACCGUGAGGGAAAGGCGAAAAGAACCCCGGAAGGGGAGUGAAAUAGAUCCUGAAACCGUGUGCAUACAAACAGUAGGAGCGGACUUGUUCCGUGACUGCGUACCUUUUGUAUAAUGGGUCAGCGACUUACAUUCAGUGGCAAGGUUAACCGAAUAGGGAAGCCGUAGAGAAAUCGAGUCCGAAUAGGGCGAUCAGUCGCUGGGUGUAGACCCGAAACCAAGUGAUCUACUCAUGGCCAGGAUGAAGGUGCGGUAACACGCCCUGGAGGUCCGAACCCACUAAUGUUGAAAAAUUAGGGGAUGAGCUGUGGGUAGGGGUGAAAGGCUAAACAAACUUGGAAAUAGCUGGUUCUCUCCGAAAACUAUUUAGGUAGUGCCUCAAGUAUCACCAUCGGGGGUAGAGCACUGUUAUGGCUAGGGGGUCAUUGCGACUUACCAAACCAUUGCAAACUCCGAAUACCGAUGAGUGCGAGCUUGGGAGACAGACGUCGGGUGCUAACGUCCGGCGUCAAGAGGGAAACAACCCAGACCGCCAGCUAAGGUCCCAAAGAUUGGCUAAGUGGAAAACGAAGUGGGAAGGCUAAAACAGUCAGGAUGUUGGCUUAGAAGCAGCCAUCAUUUAAAGAAAGCGUAAUAGCUCACUGAUCGAGUCGUCCUGCGCGGAAGAUGUAACGGGGCUAAGCCAGUCACCGAAGCUGCGGAUAUCCUUUAUUGGAUAUGGUAGGAGAGCGUUCUGUAAGCCUGCGAAGGUGUCUUGUAAAGGAUGCUGGAGGUAUCAGAAGUGCGAAUGCUGACAUGAGUAGCGAUAAUGGGGGUGAAAAGCCUCCACGCCGUAAGCCCAAGGUUUCCUGUUCAACGUUCAUCGGAGCAGGGUGAGUCGGCCCCUAAGGCGAGGCAGAGAUGCGUAGCUGAUGGGAAGCAGGUUAAUAUUCCUGCACCGUCGUAUGAUGCGAUGGGGGGACGGAUCGCGGAAGGUUGUCCAACUGUUGGAAUAGUUGGUUUUUGGCUCAUAGAAGGUACUUAGGCAAAUCCGGGUACGGAAUUCAAGGGGUUGAGACGAGUGCACUUGUGCAUGAAGCAAUCGGAAGUGGUUCCAAGAAAAGCCUCUAAGCUUCAGUCAUACGAGACCGUACCGCAAACCGACACAGGUGGGCGAGAUGAGUAUUCUAAGGCGCUUGAGAGAACUCGGGAGAAGGANNNNNNNNNNNNNNNNNNNNNNNNNNNNNNNNNNNNNNNNNNNNNNNNNNNNNNNNNNNNNNNNNNNNNNNNNNNNNNNNNNNNNNNNNNNNNNNNNNNNGAAGCAAUCGGAAGUGGUUCCAAGAAAAGCCUCUAAGCUUCAGUCAUACGAGACCGUACCGCAAACCGACACAGGUGGGCGAGAUGAGUAUUCUAAGGCGCUUGAGAGAACUCGGGAGAAGGAACUCGGCAAAUUGGUACCGUAACUUCGGGAAAAGGUACGCCCCGGUAGCUUGAUUGGUUUACUCCAUGAGGGUGAAAGGGUUGCAAUAAACUGGUGGCUGCGACUGUUUAAUAAAAACACAGCACUCUGCAAACACGAAAGUGGACGUAUAGGGUGUGACGCCUGCCCGGUGCUGGAAGAUUAAAUGAUGGGGUGCAAGCUCUUGAUUGAAGUCCCAGUAAACGGCGGCCGUAACUAUAACGGUCCUAAGGUAGCGAAAUUCCUUGUCGGGUAAGUUCCGACCUGCACGAAUGGCGUAACGAUGGCCACACUGUCUCCUCCCGAGACUCAGCGAAGUUGAAAUGUUUGUGAUGAUGCAAUCUACCCGCGGCUAGACGGAAAGACCCCAUGAACCUUUACUGUAGCUUUGCAUUGGACUUUGAACCAAUCUGUGUAGGAUAGGUGGGAGGCUUUGAAGCGGGGACGCUAGUUCUCGUGGAGCCAACCUUGAAAUACCACCCUGGUUUGUUUGAGGUUCUAACCUUGGUCCGUUAUCCGGAUCGGGGACAGUGCAUGGUAGGCAGUUUGACUGGGGCGGUCUCCUCCUAAAGUGUAACGGAGGAGUUCGAAGGUACGCUAGAUACGGUCGGACAUCGUGUUGAUAGUGCAAUGGCAUAAGCGUGCUUAACUGCGAGACUGACAAGUCGAGCAGGUACGAAAGUAGGACAUAGUGAUCCGGUGGUUCUGUAUGGAAGGGCCAUCGCUCAACGGAUAAAAGGUACUCUGGGGAUAACAGGCUGAUUCCUCCCAAGAGUUCAUAUCGACGGGGGAGUUUGGCACCUCGAUGUCGGCUCAUCACAUCCUGGGGCUGUAGCCGGUCCCAAGGGUAUGGCUGUUCGCCAUUUAAAGUGGUACGUGAGCUGGGUUUAAAACGUCGUGAGACAGUUUGGUCCCUAUCUGCCGUGGGCGUUGGAAAUUUGAAGGGGGCUGCUCCUAGUACGAGAGGACCGGAGUGGACGAACCUCUGGUGUACCGGUUGUCACGCCAGUGGCAUUGCCGGGUAGCUAAGUUCGGAAGAGAUAACCGCUGAAAGCAUCUAAGCGGGAAACUUGCCUUGAGAUGAGAUUUCCCAGAGCCUUGAGCUCUUUGAAGGGUCGUUCGAGACCAGGACGUUGAUAGGCUGGGUGUGGAAGUGCAGUAAUGCAUUAAGCUAACCAGUACUAAUUGCCCGUACGGCUUGUCCCU